UACGUAGGCAGCGAGCGUUGUUCGGAAUUACUGGGCGUAAAGCGCGCGUAGGCGGAUCUGCAAGUCGGGGGUGAAAUCCCGAGGCUCAACCUCGGAACUGCCUUCGAUACUGCGGGUCUCGAGUCCGGGAGAGGUGAGUGGAAUUCCUAGUGUAGAGGUGAAAUUCGUAGAUAUUAGGAAGAACACCAGUGGCGAAGGCGGCUCACUGGCCCGGUACUGACGCUGAGGCGCGAAAGCGUGGGGAGCAAACAGG
Molecule: ribosomal RNA, 253 nt
Filed under: uncultured bacterium
Lineage: Bacteria
Description: partial 16S ribosomal RNA
Rfam family: Bacterial small subunit ribosomal RNA
Source: RNAcentral